AUACGUAGGUGACAAGCGUUAUCCGGAUUUACUGGGCGUAAAGGGCGUGUAGGCGGUCUUGCAAGUCAGAAGUGAAAUUCCUGAGCUCAACUCGGGCGCUGCUUCUGAAACUGCAGGACUUGAGUGCUGGAGGGGAUAGCGGAAUUCCUAGUGGAGCGGUAAAAUGCGCAGAUAUUAGGAAGAACACCGGUGGCGAAGGCGGAUAUCUGGGCAGCAACGGGAGCUGAGACUCGAAAGCGUGGGGAGCAAAAAGGAAUAGAUACCCUGGUAGUCCCCGCCGUAAACGAUGAAUACAAGGUGUAGGGGGUAUCGACUCCCUCUGUGCCGCAGUUAACACAAUAAGUAUUCCGCCUGGGGAGUACGGCCGCAAGGUUGAAACUCAAAUGAAUUGACGGGG
RNAcentral lists this ribosomal RNA (397 nucleotides) under uncultured bacterium. RNAcentral describes it as "partial 16S ribosomal RNA". It matches the Rfam family "Bacterial small subunit ribosomal RNA", at positions 523 to 918 of the family's 1533-position model. The record is from RNAcentral.